UACGUAGGGUGCAAGCGUUAAUCGGAAUUACUGGGCGUAAAGCGUGCGCAGGCGGUUUUGUAAGUCUGACGUGAAAGCCCCGGGCUCAACCUGGGAAUUGCGUUGGAGACUGCAAGGCUUGAAUCUGGCAGAGGGGGGUAGAAUUCCACGUGUAGCAGUGAAAUGCGUAGAGAUGUGGAGGAACACCGAUGGCGAAGGCAGCCCCCUGGGUCAAGACUGACGCUCAUGCACGAAAGCGUGGGGAGCAAACAGG
RNAcentral lists this ribosomal RNA (253 nucleotides) under uncultured bacterium. Its description in RNAcentral is "partial 16S ribosomal RNA". It matches the Rfam family "Bacterial small subunit ribosomal RNA", at positions 524 to 776 of the family's 1533-position model. The record is from RNAcentral.